Pleuronectes platessa (European plaice) is the source of this 856-nucleotide long non-coding RNA. RefSeq lists it as uncharacterized. The record is from RefSeq and is a predicted model, not a curated record. The transcript has 3 exons. NCBI's taxonomy places the organism in Eukaryota, Metazoa, Chordata, Actinopteri, Pleuronectiformes, Pleuronectidae.
CUGUCACGUUAGCUUCGCGGCUGUGGCGUUAAAAUCUGUUUCCCCUGUGUGUUCAGUUUCCUGUCGCCUGAAAUCAACGCUAGCUAAACGCUCCAUCGGUUAUUACACGGUGUUCUAGCACGACUGGUUAUCCCGGGUUACGUGGAGUCGAGAUAAACAUGACGGGUCAAGCUGCUGCUGUUACGGUAAAACUCGGCCAGUGUGUUGACCACAACAACCACCACAACAACAACAACACAUCUGCACAAACAGCUGCAGAAUGGCGGCUCCGUAAACAGACUAUCACCGCAGCGUGUACGUCAGGGACACACCUGAGGCGGAAGCGCAAAUUCUGUGCGAGCCGCCGCCUGACCGUUCACACAGGGAGCCAUCCAGGAGGAGGUUUUAGAUGCUGGCUUGCCUGUCCAAGGAGCCACGGGUGGUGACAUCAGCAAAUGUCCCUACUAUGCUGCCAAAAUGACGGUCUCGAGUGGAACGGCAUAUGCCGGUCAACUCGCCAUGGCCGUACUCCGACACCCAGCGGGACAGGCUCUGGUUGUGACUUGGAUUGCUGCUCAGGCUAGAAUCGCUGCAUGGUAUCUGAUGUGAUCCCACCUCCGGCCUGUCAUUCUGCUGCUGAGAGAGGGAGAGGGAGGAGAAACAUUGAGGGAAGGCGAAUAAGGAGAUUGAGACCAUUUCAUAGUUUAAUACAAACAUUCUUUAGGGGUCCAAGCUAAUUCAAUAUUGCACAUUGCAAAAGAGGGACGUUGACAGGAAAUACACUUGGUUUUAUUGGACUAUUAGCUCAUCAACUCAUCCAUCUCUCAUGCUCUGCCUUCAUGUGUUGUUUCUCCGCUUCCUUUGGACUAUCCCUCCG